This 581-nucleotide ribosomal RNA is filed under the name Phenoliferia psychrophenolica. RNAcentral's name for it is "eukaryotic LSU rRNA". It matches the Rfam family "Eukaryotic large subunit ribosomal RNA", at positions 38 to 626 of the family's 3401-position model. Lineage: Eukaryota; Fungi; Basidiomycota; Microbotryomycetes; Kriegeriales; Kriegeriaceae. The record is from RNAcentral.
GCAUAUCAAUAAGCGGAGGAAAAGAAACUAACAAGGAUUCCCCUAGUAACGGCGAGUGAAGCGGGAAGAGCUCAAAUUUGUAAUCUGGCACCUUCGGUGUCCGAGUUGUAAUCUCGAGAAGUGUUUUCCGCGCCGGACCGCAUACAAGUCUGUUGGAAUACAGCGUCAUAGUGGUGAGAACCCCGUAACUGAUGCGGAUGCCCGGUGCUUUGUGAUACACUUUCGAAGAGUCGAGUUGUUUGGGAAUGCAGCUCAAAUUGGGUGGUAAAUUCCAUCUAAAGCUAAAUAUUGGCGAGAGACCGAUAGCGAACAAGUACCGUGAGGGAAAGAUGAAAAGCACUUUGGAAAGAGAGUUAACAGUACGUGAAAUUGUUGGAAGGGAAACGCUUGAAGUCAGACUUGCUAUUUGGAAUUCAGCCGCAAGGUGUACUUUUCAAUUCGCAGGCCAGCAUCAGUUUUCGGGGGUGGAAAAGGGUAGAGAGAAGGUAGCAAUUUCGGUUGUGUUAUAGCUCUUUGCUGGAUUCAUCCUUGGGGACUGAGGAACGCAGCACGCUUUUUGCAAGGCUUUCGAGCUUUCGUGC